UACAGAGGUCUCAAGCGUUGUUCGGAUUCAUUGGGCGUAAAGGGUGUGUAGGUGGCGCGCUAAGUCGGGUGUGAAAUUUUGGAGCUUAACUCCGAAACUGCAUUCGAUACUGCCGUGCUUGAGGACUGGAGAGGAGACUGGAAUUUACGGUGUAGCGGUGAAAUGCGUAGAUAUCGUAAGGAAGACCAGUGGCGAAGGCGGGUCUCUGGACAGUUCCUGACGCUGAGGCACGAAGGUCAGGGGAGCAAACGGG
This 253-nucleotide ribosomal RNA is filed under the name uncultured bacterium. RNAcentral describes it as "partial 16S ribosomal RNA". It matches the Rfam family "Bacterial small subunit ribosomal RNA", at positions 524 to 776 of the family's 1533-position model. The record is from RNAcentral.